This 468-nucleotide ribosomal RNA is filed under the name uncultured bacterium. RNAcentral's name for it is "partial 16S ribosomal RNA". It matches the Rfam family "Bacterial small subunit ribosomal RNA", at positions 29 to 507 of the family's 1533-position model. The record is from RNAcentral.
UACGAACGCUGGCGGCGUGCUUAACACAUGCAAGUCGAACGGAAAGGCCCUGCUUUUGUGGGGUGCUCGAGUGGCGAACGGGUGAGUAACACGUGAGUAACCUGCCCUUGACUUUGGGAUAACUUCAGGAAACUGGGGCUAAUACCGGAUAGGAGCUCCUGCUCCAUGGGGGGGGUGGGAAAGUUUCGGCGGUUGGGGAUGGACUCGCGGCUUACCGGCUUGUUGGUGGGGUAGUGGCUUACCAAGGCUUUGACGGGUAGCCGGCCUGAGAGGGUGACCGGCCACAUUGGGACUGAGAUACGGCCCAGACUCCUACGGGAGGCAGCAGUGGGGAAUAUUGCACAAUGGGCGGAAGCCUGAUGCAGCAACGCCGCGUGCGGGAUGACGGCCUUCGGGUUGUAAACCGCUUUCGCCUGUGACGAAGCGUGAGUGACGGUAAUGGGUAAAGAAGCACCGGCUAACUACGUG